GUGCUUGCUUUGGCAGCACAUAUACUAAAAUUGAAACUAUACAGAGAAGAUUAGCAUAGCCCUUGCACAAGGAUGACAUGCAAAUUUGUGAAGCAAAUUCAAUAGAU
Aotus nancymaae (Ma's night monkey) is the source of this 107-nucleotide small nuclear RNA. NCBI's taxonomy places the organism in Eukaryota, Metazoa, Chordata, Mammalia, Primates, Aotidae. The record is from Ensembl.